RNAcentral lists this ribosomal RNA (301 nucleotides) under uncultured bacterium. RNAcentral describes it as "partial 16S ribosomal RNA". It matches the Rfam family "Bacterial small subunit ribosomal RNA", at positions 509 to 809 of the family's 1533-position model. The record is from RNAcentral.
CAGUCGCCGCGGGAAUACGGAGGGGGCUAGCGUUGUUCGGAAUUACUGGGCGUAAAGGGUGCGUAGGCGGUUCAGCAAGUCUCGUGUGAAAUCUUCGGGCUCAACCCGAAGUCUGCACGGGAAACUACUGGGCUUGAGUAAUGGAGAGGUGAGUGGAAUUUCCGGUGUAGCGGUGAGAUGCGUAGAUAUCGGAAGGAACACCUGUGGCGAAAGCGGCUCACUGGACAUUUACUGACGCUGAUGCACGAAAGCUAGGGGAGCAAACAGGAUUAGAUACCCGGGUAGUCCCUGUCUCUUAUAA